Molecule: transfer RNA, 74 nt
Filed under: Verrucomicrobiales bacterium
Lineage: Bacteria; Pseudomonadati; Verrucomicrobiota; Verrucomicrobiia; Verrucomicrobiales
Description: tRNA-Gly
Rfam family: tRNA
About the family: Transfer RNA (tRNA) molecules are approximately 80 nucleotides in length. Their secondary structure includes four short double-helical elements and three loops (D, anti-codon, and T loops). Further hydrogen bonds mediate the characteristic L-shaped molecular structure. tRNAs have two regions of fundamental functional importance: the anti-codon, which is responsible for specific mRNA codon recognition, and the 3' end, to which the tRNAs corresponding amino acid is attached (by aminoacyl-tRNA synthetases). tRNAs cope with the degeneracy of the genetic code in two manners: having more than one tRNA (with a specific anti-codon) for a particular amino acid; and 'wobble' base-pairing, i.e. permitting non-standard base-pairing at the 3rd anti-codon position.
Source: RNAcentral
GCGGGUAUAGCUUAGUGGUAAAGCUCCAGCCUUCCAAGCUGGCCACGUGAGUUCGAUUCUCACUACCCGCUCCA